ACAAACUUGGUCAUUUAGAGGAAGUAAAAGUCGUAACAAGGUCUCCGUUGGUGAACCAGCGGAGGGAUCAUUACCGAGUUAUUACAACUCCCCAACCCCUGUGAACAUACCUAUCGUUGCCUCGGCGGAACGCCCCGGCGCCCUCGCGGCCCGGACCCAGGCGCCCGCCGGAGGACCACCAAACUCUUGUAUUAUUUACGAAUCUUCUGAGUAAAACAAAAAAAUAAAUCAAAACUUUCAACAACGGAUCUCUUGGCUCUGGCAUCGAUGAAGAACGCAGC
Molecule: unclassified non-coding RNA, 281 nt
Filed under: uncultured fungus
Lineage: Eukaryota; Fungi
Description: partial contains small subunit ribosomal RNA, internal transcribed spacer 1, and 5.8S ribosomal RNA
Rfam family: Eukaryotic small subunit ribosomal RNA (bases 1-73)
Source: RNAcentral